Molecule: non-coding RNA, 27 nt
Filed under: Rattus norvegicus (Norway rat)
Lineage: Eukaryota; Metazoa; Chordata; Mammalia; Rodentia; Muridae
Source: RNAcentral
UUGGCGUGUUGAUCUCUAGGCUGAGGA